GGAUGCGAUCAUACCAGCACUAAAGCACCGGAUCCCAUCAGAACUCCGAAGUUAAGCGUGCUUGGGCGAGAGUAGUACUAGGAUGGGUGACCUCCUGGGAAGUCCUCGUGUUGCAUUCG
Molecule: ribosomal RNA, 119 nt
Filed under: Triticum aestivum (bread wheat)
Lineage: Eukaryota; Viridiplantae; Streptophyta; Magnoliopsida; Poales; Poaceae
Also listed under: 2 other names
Source: RNAcentral